CCUUCGGGGUGCAGCAGGCGCGAAAACUUUACAAUGCUGGAAACAGCGAUAGGGGGACUUUGAGUGCCAGGAUACAAUUCUGGCUGUCGUCGUGCCUAAAAAGCACGGCAUAGCAAGGGCCGGGCAAGACCGGUGCCAGCCGCCGCGGUAACACCGGCGGCUCGAGUGGUAACCGCUAUUAUUGGGUCUAAAGGGUCUGUAGCCGGCUGAAAAAGUCUCUUGGGAAAUCCGGCAGCUUAACUGUCGGGCUUUCAGGAGAUACUCUUCGGCUCGAGACCGGGAGAGGUGAGAGGUACUUCAUGGGUAGGGGUGAAAUCUUGUAAUCCUUGAAGGACCACCAGUGGCGAAGGCGUCUCACCAGAACGGAUCUGACGGCAAGGGACGAAAGCUAGGGGCACGAACCGGAUUAGAUACCCGGGUAGUCCUAGCCGUAAACGAUACUCGCUAGGUGUCGGCCACGGUGCGACCGUGGUCGGUGCCGUAGGGAAGCCGUGAAGCGAGCCACCUGGGAAGUACGGCCGCAAGGCUGAAACUUAAAGGAAUUGGCGGGGGAGCAC
This 557-nucleotide ribosomal RNA is filed under the name uncultured archaeon. RNAcentral's name for it is "bacterial SSU rRNA". It matches the Rfam family "Archaeal small subunit ribosomal RNA", at positions 322 to 879 of the family's 1478-position model. The record is from RNAcentral.